UAAGGAAUAUUGGACAAUGGACGCAAGUCUGAUCCAGCCAUGCCGCGUGAAGGAUUAAGGUCCUCUGGAUUGUAAACUUCUUUUAUAAGGGACGAAAAAAGGUCUUUCUAGAUCGUCUGACGGUACCUUAUGAAUAAGCACCGGCUAACUCCGUGCCAGCAGCCGCGGUAAUACGGAGGGUGCAAGCGUUAUCCGGAUUCACUGGGUUUAAAGGGUGCGUAGGCGGGCAGGUAAGUCAGUGGUGAAAUCCUAGAGCUCAACUCUAGAACUGCCAUUGAUACUAUCUGUCUUGAAUAUUGUGGAGGUAAGCGGAAUAUGUCAUGUAGCGGUGAAAUGCUUAGAUAUGACAUAGAACACCUAUUGCGAAGGCAGCUUACUACGCAUAUAUUGACGCUGAGGCACGAAAGCGUGGGGAUCAAACAGG
RNAcentral lists this ribosomal RNA (424 nucleotides) under Microvirga ossetica. RNAcentral's name for it is "partial 16S ribosomal RNA". It matches the Rfam family "Bacterial small subunit ribosomal RNA", at positions 355 to 776 of the family's 1533-position model. The record is from RNAcentral. RNAcentral also lists the same sequence under 1 other name. Lineage: Bacteria; Pseudomonadati; Pseudomonadota; Alphaproteobacteria; Hyphomicrobiales; Methylobacteriaceae.